GCGAGAAGUUCCUUCGGGAGCGAGUACAGCGGCGAAAGGGAGAGUAACGCGUAGAUACGUACCCUCGGGUUCGGGAUAGCGGCGGGAAACUGCCGGUAAUACCGGAUAACGUCUCCGGACCAAAGGUUUACUGCCCGGGGAGCGGUCUGCGUCCUAUUAGCUUGUUGGUGGGGUAACGGCCUACCAAGGCUAAGAUGGGUAGCGGGUGUGAGAGCAUGACCCGUCUCACUGGGACUGAGACACUGCCCAGACGUCUACGGACGGCUGCAGUCGAGAAUCUUCCGCAAUGGACGAAAGUCUGACGGAGCGACGCCGCGUGCGGGAUGAAGGCCUUCGGGUUGUAAACCGCUGUCAGAGGGGAGCAAAUUUUGAGCGAUCCUCAAAGGAAGCACAGGCUAAGUUCGUGCCAGCAGCCGCGGUAAUACGAACUGUGCAAACGUUAUUCGGAAUCACUGGGCUUAAAGGGUGCGUAGGCGGCAAUGUAGGUCAGGUGUGAAAUCCCACGGCUCAACCGUGGAACUGCGCUUGAAACCACAUAGCUUGAGGGAGUCAGAGGUAAGCGGAACUGAUGGUGGAGCGGUGAAAUGCGUUGAUAUUAUCAGGAACACCGGUGGCGAAAGCGGCUUACUGGGACUCUUCUGACGCUGAGGCACGAAAGCUAGGGGAGCGAACGGGAUUAGAUACCCCGGUAGUCCUAGCUGUAAACGAUGAGCACCAGUCCGUGGGGACCCCCACAUCUUCUCGGACGUAGCGAAAGUGUUAAGUGCUCCGCCUGGGGAGUAUGGUCGCAAGGCUGAAACU
Molecule: ribosomal RNA, 801 nt
Filed under: uncultured bacterium
Lineage: Bacteria
Description: bacterial SSU rRNA
Rfam family: Bacterial small subunit ribosomal RNA
Source: RNAcentral